Long non-coding RNA from Cercocebus atys (sooty mangabey), 3690 nucleotides. RefSeq lists it as uncharacterized. The record is from RefSeq and is a predicted model, not a curated record. Lineage: Eukaryota; Metazoa; Chordata; Mammalia; Primates; Cercopithecidae. The transcript has 3 exons.
CUGAGUCUCCCCUGGCCCAGAGCAGCUGUGGUUGUGAUAUCCUCCAGCCCCGAAGUGGGCCAAGAUGGCAGAGGGCAGCCUCGGGCCUCUGCUUAGGCUGCCAUGGUGCCCUGGCACUCCCACUCCCAGGGGAGCGUCUGCCAGGCUGGAGCACACCAUGGGGCAAGAGAGUCAAUGGCCCAACACCCUCUAGAGGCCAGAAGGGGUGAACCUGAUGGAAAACAUUCACAGCCCCCCAACAGCGGGUGGAGGGAAUAAAUAAUGCCUCAUUGGAAAGUGUAAGUCCUUGAGGUGUGUUCAUUCACUCUCUAUGAUGACCUUUUAGCUUGGGCUCUGCCAUCCUCCCUGUGUUACAGAUGGGCUAAGAAGAACAUUUCUCGUAAGGCCGUUGUGAGGAUCACAUGAGCUGCCCUCCCUACAUUCCUGACAUUCCUGGGAGGUGAAGCAGGCUGACAUAUUUCACGGUGUGUUCAGAUGAGGAAACUGAGACCCACAGAGGAGGUGUCAUGGUUAUUAAGGCUGUAAAUGUAAUUAUGAUGGUCCUAACCCCAUUGAUUGCUCCCUUAUUCUGUCUCAGGCACUGUGUUGAAUAAUUUAUGUGUAUUAUCUCAUAUGGACUUAAUAUCAACCCUAUAAGGUUAGUAUUCUUAUUCACAUUCACAUGGGAAGAAAUGAAGGCUUAAAGGUUAAGUAGCUUGCUCAAGGGCACACAGGGGUUAAGUGUGUGGGUGUACACAGAAUGGGGGUGGGGAAUAUUUAGGCCCAUCUUUGUCUGACUGCAAAGUCCAUGUGCUUAACCUCUCCACUGCUGUAUGGCACCCCAAAUACAAGAGCAUGCUUUUACCUUAUGCUUAUCUGUGUUAUUUGUAGAGACCCUGUUGCUUAUGAAAGCUCUAUCAUUUACAUUAUUUCAUUUGCGCUUUGUAUGUUCCCUUGAAAUAAGACAGAGAGGUAUAAUCACAACCAUUUUAUGGAUAAAACAUUGAGAUCUUGAGAUGUUGAAUGAUAGGCUUACGUUUUCCCAGCAACUUGGUUAUGGAAUUGGGGUUUAAAAACUUAGGUGGUAGGGUCUUUGUAAUCCUGCCUGGUAAGACCUGGCAGACAAAGAUGAAGAAUCAAAGAUAAGACCACUCAGAUGGAGCAGCCCAUGUGGACUUUGUCACCACCGUGGACAAAGCCCAGGGCUGAGGAGAGCUGAGGGUCCCAGGGGCCUGCCUGACAGCAGCUGUCAUCAAGGCCCCAACUACAGUGUAGAGGAGGAGAGAGGAGUUCCCACUUUCCCAGAGUUUGACAUACUUUAAACUUUGGAGUUAUCUUGACAAAGAGAGUGUUAAAUGAUCGUAAGUUUGGGCAGUAAUGAGUGCCAUAAAGAUAAGGAUGCUGUAAGCAGGAGGAAGCUGGGCAUUAUCUCCCAGACCUCCCUCACCACCCUGGCCCCUGCUCCUGCUCCCAGACUCCCUUCAGCUUGAGCCAAAGGCAAUAGAGUUGUUUAUCUUGGUUAUUUCUUUGUUGCAGGGGAAUUUCCCAGCAAGGAACCUUUUAUUUCCUUGUGAAUAUAAAGGUAUUUUGUUUCUACAGUUCUUUGGAAGAGUAAGGGGAAGGAGUGGGAACAGAUAUGGGUGUCAGAUGGCAACGUCGAGGCUCUCUUGAGUCCGGUUAAUUGCCCCAGACCUUUCUUACCAGGUCAAUGAUUAAUCUCUGGAGUGGGGCCUUAGCCAAAUACCAGUCAGCUCCAACGUGAAAGCAAUCAGGGGACGUUGGCUGGGGUGUCAUCACCUGCGUAAGCACUGCAAGCUGCCAUGGGAGAUGCUCCCAGGUGGGAGCAGCUUUCAGGAGGCCAGGAAGUCUCGGCAACAGUUGGGAUGGGCUGGCUGCAAAGACCUGAGAGAUCUACCAUUUGCUACUUGUGCUGGCACAGGGUGGGUGCUGGCAUAGGUGGGAGGACAAAAUGCUGCCUGCUUUUAAGAACCCACACCAGCAGCAGUUAUCCUUGCUUCUUGUUCCUGUCCUCACCUCUAGAUAAGCAACUGCCUAAUAUUUGUGGGAGACAGGAGCGGUCUUCCUACAAGCUGAGCAGCCCUCUUCUGGACUUGGCCUGGGUUGCAGAGAGUCAGAUGCCAGCUUCUCCAAGGUGAAGACCCUGACCUCUGUCCCAGACUUCUCAUUUUGUGACAUGUUUGGGUGACUGUGCAUGUUCGUGUGGAGAGGGGACAUGUGCGUGCACCCAUUACCCUCUGCAUGGUCUCAAGCCAGGGAUGAGAGCAUCAGGCAUGCACAGGCAGGUCAGGCAGAUGGCAACAUCGGCGGGAUGCACACAGUCCAGUCCUAGACGGGAUGAUUGGCAGGAGAGGAUACCCCUGCUCGGAACAGGAGCUCUUCUUUGCCCAAAGCUAAAACUUGAAGCACAAUUUCUCUAGUAACAGUCGGAAGGAUCCCAAACUUUCAGAAUCAUUAGAGACCCCUUCCUCUCAAAACCAGAGACUUUCUUCCAAACCUGGGGGAUUCAAAUCUCAGGGAGACCCACCCCACUGGGUGGCUGGGGCUGGAUUUAAAGGAUUUGCUUAAGGAAGGAAGAAAAAGAACAUAAUGUUGGGCACUCGCUAUGUGCCAAAUGCUUUGCUAGGUUCUUUUCUUGUAUGACUUCAUCCAUCAGCACAACAACCCAAGAAGUAGAUGUUGUUAUCCUCAUGACACAGGUCGGAAAUCUAAGGGUUGUAGGGAUUCUUGACCCCAAGACUCACAGCAGAAUCCGAAUUUGAGGUCACUACCCCCAUUAUCACACUUUAAAUGAGCAGAGGGGCCUUCUUUAUUGAGUUUUAUGUAUAUGACAUUAUAUCAUGCAUGAGGGCACGUUUUCUGGUCCUUAAACUAGCAGUUGUUUUUUCACUGCUGAGGCUAGGAUGUGCUAGAUCAUUUUCAGUUUACUAAGUUAGUAUCCCAACAUAUUUGUAAUAUAUGGCCCCACAAUUGUGGAUUGGGGCAGGAGUGUAAGCUGUGCUGAAGAAUAGUUUUUCUUUUUAUAAAAUGUAUUUAACAAGCUCCUAUUCAGUUAAAGUGACUGCACGUCUGCUCUCAUGGUGUGGAGUCCAAACCUUUGUCCAUCUAAUCUCAGGUUUCCCUCUUUUUCAGAGGAAGAAAGGUCCCCUGGACUUGAUAUGAGAGUAGAAGUCUGCUUGCUGGGCAUCGUUUGAAGAUAGAGAGUGAGCUACUUAGGUUGGACCCAUGUGGAUAAGAGAGGAGACAAGCACUAUGGGCUAGGCUAGAAGAACGUACACUGAGUCCUUUCCAGGUGCUUUACAUGUGUUAAUGUGUUUCAUUUUUACAGCCACCCUAGGAGAUAGGACAAAAUGGGCAACCCCAUUUCAUGAGUGAGAUAAUUGAGGUACAGAGAGGUGAGAUAUUUGCCCAAGUUUGCACAGUUGGUAAGUGACUUAGAUGGGAUUCUGGAUCAAGAGCAUAGGCCCUUAGCCACUCUGCUCUACCUCUGAGGGUCUUGCUGUUGAGAGGAAGCAGUGGGAGAGGAAGGAGCAGGAUAUCCAAUCUUAGAGAAGAGAAUUUGUUCAGUUCUUUCCUCUCUGCCUUUCACAGAAAAGGCAGUGCUUAUAAAGUGAUACCUGGGGCCAGGCGUGGUGGCUCACGCCUGUAAUCCCAGCACUUUGGGAGGCCGAGGUAGGUGGAUCACGAGGUCAG